UACGUAGGGAGCAAGCGUUAUCCGGAUUUACUGGGUGUAAAGGGCGCGUAGGCGGGGAUGCAAGUCAGAUGUGAAAUCCCGAGGCUCAACCUCGGAACUGCAUUUGAAACUGUAUUUCUUGAGUGAUGGAGAGGCAGGCGGAAUUCCUAGUGUAGCGGUGAAAUGCGUAGAUAUUAGGAGGAACACCAGUGGCGAAGGCGGCCUACUGGGCUUUAACUGACGCUGAGGCACGAAAGCGUGGGUAGCAA
Molecule: ribosomal RNA, 248 nt
Filed under: uncultured Oscillospiraceae bacterium
Lineage: Bacteria; Bacillati; Bacillota; Clostridia; Eubacteriales; Oscillospiraceae
Description: partial 16S ribosomal RNA
Rfam family: Bacterial small subunit ribosomal RNA
Source: RNAcentral